GACGAACGCUGGCGGCGUGCUUAACACAUGCAAGUCGAACGAAGAGCGACGGAAGCUUGCUUCUAUCAAUCUUAGUGGCGAACGGGUGAGUAACGCGUAAUCAACCUGCCCUUCAGAGGGGGACAACAGUUGGAAACGACUGCUAAUACCGCAUACGAUCUAACCUCGGCAUCGAGGAUAGAUGAAAGGUGGCCUCUACAUGUAAGCUAUCACUGAAGGAGGGGAGUGCGUCUGAUUAGCUAGUUGGAGGGGUAACGGCCCACCAAGGCGAUGAUCAGUAGCCGGUCUGAGAGGAUGAACGGCCACAUUGGGACUGAGACACGGCCCAGACUUCUACGGGAGGCAGCAGUGGGGAAUCUUCCGCAAUGGACGAAAGUCUGACGGAGCAACGCCGCGGGAGGGAUGACGGCCUUCGGGUUGUAAAGCUCGGUUAAUCGGGACGAAAGGCCUUCUUGCGAAUAGUGAGAAGGAUUGACGGUACCGGAAGAGAAAGCCACGGCUAACUACGUG
This 510-nucleotide ribosomal RNA is filed under the name uncultured bacterium. Its description in RNAcentral is "partial 16S ribosomal RNA". It matches the Rfam family "Bacterial small subunit ribosomal RNA", at positions 28 to 507 of the family's 1533-position model. The record is from RNAcentral.